RNAcentral lists this long non-coding RNA (1075 nucleotides) under Anser cygnoides (Swan goose). Its description in RNAcentral is "lncRNA (ENSACDG00005017722.1)". The record is from RNAcentral. Lineage: Eukaryota; Metazoa; Chordata; Aves; Anseriformes; Anatidae.
AUGUUCAUCUCUGAUUUCAACGAAGCUAGGAGGUAUAACAAGCUUUCCCAUUCUAGCAGCAUGAAGAAUUCCUGGUCUCUGGGGGACAUUGGGCAAAGUGACUACAUGUUUGGUGUGUCAGAUCUCCCCACCGCAGCCCAACAUGGACUCCCAGCGAGGGAUGCCGCCAUCCUCAGAUGCAAACAGCCGUUCGUCCCUUCUAUCUUAUCUCUCAGUCACUUUGUGUGUGAGCGCAUACACAUAUUAUUAAAUAUAAAUACAAACCCCAGGCACACAUUUUUAUCCUUAAGUAAUAAAAUCUAAUGGAAGAAUUUACAGUCAUGGGUUAUAAAGCAAUAAUAGUUGUAAAAUCAUUUAGCAGGGUUCAAAUACAGGUGAAAGGAGAAGUUCAGAAGUUCAGCAUUUAAAUACGUUUCCUGGCAGUUUCCGAUGACAAACAGCAAAUCCCCUAUUGACAUGGUGCCGGUAAUGAAAGCCCAGAACUGUUCUCAAUCUGCUCUGCUUGUAUUUUUGAGAUCAUGGCUUGUUCAGUUUUAUUACAUUUCAUGUGCACUUUCUAGAGGUCAAGUUAUUCGGUGGAGUAGUUGUGAGGGCUGCCUAAAAAGGUCACUGAAUAGGAAACAAGAAUCCAGAUUUCUGUGUGCUGCCUGUCCAGCCCUGUGAGGAGGGAAUCAACUUUCUAUGUGAAACAUGGCACCCAUGGCUCAAUGCAGAUUGUACUGGUGUCACCUGAAGGGAAAUGGGUGCUGCUAGCAGGACUGGGCACUAUUUUUAUUGGCACUUAAUGCCACUCCAAGGAGACUUAGAAGUUAUCAUUAAAAUGCUUAUGUGCAUAUAUGUGUAUAUUGCUUAUACUACUGUUUCUGCUAUUUCUAGCAAUUAGUAAUUUCUAGCAACUACAGCUUACGAGCCAUUUUCAAUUGGGCAAUGGCUUUGCUAAAUGUCUUUACCACAACAAAGCAGAAAAUGCUUGCUCAGCCCUUAACAGCUUGAGCCUGUCUCCUUGUGCCUCUGUUGCUUAUGGGCUUAAGGAGCAGAAGAAUGAAAGCAAAUAAAAUCAAGGUCUCAGAAAUCA